GCAUAACGCGAAGAACCUUACCCACCUUUGACAUGUACGGAAUCCUUUAGAGAUAGAGGAGUGCUCGAAAGAGAGCCGUAACACAGGUGCUGCAUGGCUGUCGUCAGCUCGUGUCGUGAGAUGUUGGGUUAAGUCCCGCAACGAGCGCAACCCUUGCCAUUAGUUGCUACAUUUAGUUGAGCACUCUAAUGGGACUGCCGGUGACAAACCGGAGGAAGGUGGGGAUGACGUCAAAUCCUCAUGGCCCUUAUAGGUGGGGCUACACACGUCAUACAAUGGCUGGUACAAAGGGUUGCCAACCCGCGAGGGGGAGCUAAUCCCAUAAAGCCAGUCGUAGUCCGGAUCGCAGUCUGCAACUCGACUGCGUGAAGUCGGAAUCGCUAGUAAUCGUGGAUCAGAAUGUCACGGUGAAUACGUUCCCGGGUCUUGUACACACCG
This 438-nucleotide ribosomal RNA is filed under the name uncultured bacterium. RNAcentral's name for it is "bacterial SSU rRNA". It matches the Rfam family "Bacterial small subunit ribosomal RNA", at positions 954 to 1392 of the family's 1533-position model. The record is from RNAcentral.